CUGAAUACUACUUAAUGCGAGGCGGUUCGGAACAGUUGAUCAUCCUGUAUUGGUUUCAUACUCGAGUUGAUCUUGAAUCACCCUUCCUCCGGGAAGGGACCACUGCAUAAAUAUGGGCGUCGUUUUAUCUUGCCAGGCUAUCUGUGUGAUUUUCGCCAGCUGGUCUCGACAUGACAUACCGCGCUUUCUCAAGCCACUCCACGAAACCAGGCCAAGCUUCACGGCGAUCAUUGCUCUGCGACCAAGCAGGUUGGGCCUGGGUAGUACUUGAUGAAUUGGCUUCUGGAACUGAUUCUUAGGAGACGAUAAAUAUAUCCCGAAAUUUAUCACGAAACCAGUCGGACUGUUUUGGAGCGGGCCAGAAGUAUCUUGGGACUUGACGAAAAGAAAGUGGUUUAUGCCGUGAUCUUUCGGGGAAUAACGUUGACCAUUGGCGAGUGAGACGGAGGACGAACACAAUGUGCAUGUGGUGGGAGAUGUGCCUCCGGCACGAAACUUGAUGGGAUUGAAACAACGAUGAGUCUUCCAUCAUUCUGUGGGAGCCUAAAAGCGCCUUUAUCAGACGAGCCAGUUCCCAGGACACACGAUGCUGGAGCUGGAAAGACUGGGCAAUUUUUUUGUUGAAGCCAGGUCCCUCGUAAUAGCGUCAAGCCUACUUCUAGGACGGUCGAAUUCAAAAUUAUACAUUCAAUGACAGUCUUGUAUUGUUGAUUCGAAAUGACAUAUAUCUGUUAAUAUUCACUGGCCGGUACUCGAAAAUGACUAUAACUGGACACAUAUGAAAAGAG
RNAcentral lists this small RNA (788 nucleotides) under Histoplasma capsulatum var. duboisii H88. RNAcentral describes it as "Histoplasma capsulatum H88 hypothetical RNA". The record is from RNAcentral. Lineage: Eukaryota; Fungi; Ascomycota; Eurotiomycetes; Onygenales; Ajellomycetaceae.